RNAcentral lists this long non-coding RNA (1568 nucleotides) under Gossypium barbadense (sea-island cotton). RNAcentral's name for it is "long non-coding RNA (GBAR_LNC006639)". Lineage: Eukaryota; Viridiplantae; Streptophyta; Magnoliopsida; Malvales; Malvaceae. The record is from RNAcentral.
GCUUGAACAAUGCAAAAUUAAUGAAAUAAUUCUUAAUAUUAUGUACAAAGAUAUAUUACAAAUGAAUUUCUUUGAAAAAAAAUAUAAAGAAUAAAACUUAAGCUAAAAAAAAACUCAAUUGAAGCAAGAAUAAAAUUAAAAGGAUAAUUUACAAAUGAAAUAAGUUUUUGAAAUUAAAACAAGGACCCCUGCGCAAUGCGUGCAAAUGUGUAUGGGCUAAAGCUGGAAAUAUUCCAGAUCUCCAAAAACACUCUGCUGAGACACGGAUCCAAUUGCAAAUACGCUCAAAUUGCCAAGUCAAAUUAGAAAAGAAUUAAGCAAACAACAUGAGAUUGAAUGGUAGCGCGAAAGAAGAAUGACCAAUUGCGGAAUUAUCCCUCUCCGUAGAAACACGCGGAUCCCAGGGGUAAAUGAACCGGAUUGGGUCGGCCAAGCCUAAACGGCACUGUUUCAAGGCUACAAAUCCAUGCCUUAAACGUCAUCGUCUCAUGGUGCCAAUUAAAAUAAAAAAAACAUCCUCUAAAAGCUUAUUUCGGCAGAGCAGAUUGAAAAGGGGAAAAAGGAAACCCUAAGGAUUUACUCCCAUUCGGCCGCCGCUUUCAACAUCACAAUUGAUGGAUGGCGCCGUUAGAUCCCCCUCCCUAAUCACCGAUUCAUCUUCACAGAUGGUGCUCGUCGAUUCUGGAGAAAUCUCAACCCGAAAUCCCUCCUCAACUUCGAUUUCAACGAAGAAAGGAGAAGAAAUCCAUGGCCUGCUCGCAUGGUAAGGUUUUCCUUCACCUUCAUUUCUUUUCGACAGAAGUAGAUGCAACCAUGAAAAUAAAUCGAAUGCAAAAGAAAAAAAGAACAUAAAGCUUAAAUCGGAAAUCACCUUUAAAUUUUGGUAGCUUUUUUUGUAUUUCAGUAUGUGUGUAUGCAUAUAGUGUGCGUAAGUCCUCUUAGAGUACAUUCAACGGCAUUUUAUAGCCAUAUUUACAAAAUAAAAUAAAAAAUAAAAUUACAUUUUCAUUGCUGUCAUUUGCUGUGAAUUCAGUUAUCUCUUUCUUCUAGUGUCUUCUUUGCAGGAACGGCCAUACAGAGGAGCGGGGAAAGGUGCACGUGAAAGAGGCUGUGCGGGGAAACCGUUCGUGGGAGCCAGACCCCCUGGCACUGUUCUGGCACGUUCCAGAAGCUUCUAGUGCUCUUGGCUGUUGAGAUUCCCCUUUUGGGUUCCGGAUUUGGGCUAAGUUUAGGAUAUGGGUUUAUGAAUUUGGGUUAGAAUUGUAUCUGGGAUGGUAUAGGUUCUUUAUUUGGGCCUAAACAUUUGUAAAAGGACACUGAUGAUGGACUUUUAUUGGUUUUUAUCUUAAUUUAUUUUUGUUUUUGUUUAUUUUGGUUUUUGGUUUUUCUCUAACAAGCCCGGGCGAAAUGGGCCAAUUACACAAUCAUAUGAAUCACAACAUUUCUAUCAAUAGGCCAAGUACAGGUAAACACAUUUAGAUACACAAACGUUUCUCAAUGAGUACAUAUGCAUUUUCUCAUGUAAGCUUACCAAUUACUUCACUUUUCAAUACUUGUAUGUAUCUCGU